UCCAACCUGGGCGACAGAGCAAGACUCCGUCUCAAAAAAAAAAAAAAAAGAGAAGGGAUUCCCUAGAGAGUGAGGGAAACGUAACUGAUUUUUCCUCAGCCUCAACUAUAUGCCAGGACCCUGGACUGAGACACACUUUCCCUGGAGGACUCCUGCGUACAGAUGGCCUGUGGCAGUUGUAACAAAGGGCUGCAGAGGAAAACAGCAGUGCCACCAGAGUGUGUAGCAGGAGGCCAAAGCCCGGACUGCGGGUGGGCCAGGGAAGGUCUCCCUGAGGACAUGACAUUUAAACUGAGUGAUCCGCCUGUGAGUGAGUGGUGGGUGGGAAGGUGGGGGUAAGGAAUGUUCCAGGCAGAAGGAACAGCAUGUGCCAAGGCUCUGAAGAGGAAGAUGCUUGUCAACCCAAAGGAGGGAGAAUGUGCUACAAGCUAGGGGUGGCCGCGUCACAGUCUGGCCAAGGAAAGGAAAUUGGGAGUUGCUGUGUGGAAACUCAACUCUCUGGAACUGCUUCCUUCCUCCUGCCUCCGCACAAAUGUGAUGGCAGCAGCUGAGGCCACCAUCUUGCGACCAUGAGAGAAAAACCUGGAGAACAGGUGUGUCCUCAGCCCUGACUUCAGACCAACCUACACCCACCUCUAGGCGUGGGGGCUAAGUGAGGGAUGGAUUCACUGUUUCAUUUAAGCCCUGGUCACUUAGGUUUUCUGUUAUUCACACCCCAACAAAACCCUACAUGGUCCAGGAGGGCACCAGGCAAAGUAGAGAAGGGUACGAGUUUAUUUCCUGCUUCCCUGGAGACCACCAACCCUCUCACUCUUCCAGCCCAGCCUCUGCCACUUCCCAGCUGUCGGCCCUCCUCCAAACAAAUGUGCAUGCCAACACCCAGUGGGUGUGAGGCUUGUAGGCCCAAGUCUAGAGAGAGCUGAGUCUGGCAAACCCUGAAAGCCCCUGUCCUAGCAAGCCAGGCCACAGGUCUGUAGUAUCUGGGACCAGUGAAUAAGGGGACCGGGGGUGCUACUGAGACUCAGAAGCCCCAGGACUAGCCCAGGGUAGUUAGAACUGAGUGAGGUUAGCCAGGACUAACCUCACGCAGAUCGCUCCUCCCCCGUUCCCCUCCCUCCACCUUGGUUUGGAAGCCUCCCCAGAGCUCUCCCAGGCUGUCGUCAGCUGUAAACUCUGCCUCCACAAAAAUGCCCUGGGCAACCUGCAACUCACAGCCCUGCUGUCCUCAGAGUAUCAGCUGGAGACAGAUGUGCCCAGAAUUGAGGAUGGGGGGGAAAUGAGGAGAAAUGAGGGCUGAGGAGGGGUCAUUCUCAGUCCCUCCCUCUCGGUCACAGGAGGGUGUUGCCCAUGCUUUUGGGUGGGUCCCAGGCCCAUAGCUGCAAAUAUUCAUAUUGGCUACUCUUUAGUGAGCAAGGGUAUGUGCCAGGCAUUGGCAUUGUGCUGGACAUGCAUCAUCACACUGAGUCCUCACGGAAGAUGUAUUAUUCCCAUUUCACAGAAAAUGAAACUGAGGCUUGAGGUUAAGCGAUUUGUCCGUGACCACAAAGAGUUUUCAGGACUCAAACCCAGAUCUGUCACUGGGCAAGGUGGCUCACUCCUGCAAUCCCAGCCCUUUGGGAGACUGAGACCAGUGGAUCUCUUGUGGCCAGGAGUUCAAGCCUGGCCAACAUGGCAAAACCACAUCUCUACUAAAAAUACAAAAAUUAGCUGGGCGUGGUGGCAGGCGCCUGUAAUCCCAGCUACUCAGGUGACUGAGGCAGGAGAAUUGCUUGAACCCAGGAGGUGGUGAUUGCAGUGAGCCUAGAUCGUGCCACUACAUUCCAGCCUGAGUGACAGAGUAAGACUCUGACUCCAAAAAAAACCCAGAUCUGUCUGACUCUGACACCCAACCUUUAAUCAUUCGCUGUUGUCAAUGUCACCUCCGUUUUGACCAGCCAAGCCAGACCUCGCUGGAGCCUGUGGAGAAGCCAAGGUAGAAAAGGGUUGGAAAAGAAUGGUAAAAUAGGCCAGGUGUGGUGGCUCACCCCUGUAAUCGCAGCACUUUUGGAGGUCAAGACAGGCAGAUUGCGUGAGCCCGGGAGUUCAAGACCAGCCUGGGCAACAUAGUGAGACCCUGUUUCAACUUAAAAAAAAAAUGGUAAUGAACAAUUGUCAAUUCUGAGCAGCCGGGUAUGGUAUGACCCUGUGUACUUUUUCUGUAUUUUAAAAUGUUCUCAAAAUAAAACCUGUU
Molecule: long non-coding RNA, 2230 nt
Organism: Cercocebus atys (sooty mangabey)
Lineage: Eukaryota; Metazoa; Chordata; Mammalia; Primates; Cercopithecidae
Exons: 2
Source: RefSeq, a predicted model, not a curated record